Molecule: small RNA, 307 nt
Filed under: Pan troglodytes (chimpanzee)
Lineage: Eukaryota; Metazoa; Chordata; Mammalia; Primates; Hominidae
Description: processed transcript
Source: RNAcentral
UUUGGUUCUUAGGAGUGGAAACCUUGUAAUUUACUACUGUAUGUAACUAUAUUCCUAUUAGAAUUUAGAGUUAUUUAUAUAAAUAUCUGAUUUUUUUGUGUGGUUUUUAAGGUAAUGCUAUGGGCUAUGUACGAAUGAUAAGAUCUGGUGGUCUUCAUUGUAGCAGCAAUGCCAUUAGAUUUGUUCCUGAUCUUGAAGAUAUUGUAAAUUUUGAAGAACUAGUAAAAGAAGAAGGUCUUGCAGAAGAAACGUUAAAAGCAGCAAGACCCUCAACUUUGUAGAGCAUUCCAUUAGUUGCAAGGAAAAA